AAAAAGUGGAACACUGAGAUAAUUGACAAGUAAGACUUAAGGAGAAUCAGAGAAGACUAUCAGGAUGAAUUCUGAGCAUCUUCAGCUGGAUUUUCAUGGGAAACUGAGCUAUGGAAGCUUGAGGCCUAACUCAGUACGGAAGGU
Enhydra lutris kenyoni (northern sea otter) is the source of this 144-nucleotide long non-coding RNA. RefSeq lists it as uncharacterized. The record is from RefSeq and is a predicted model, not a curated record. The transcript is spliced from 3 exons. NCBI's taxonomy places the organism in Eukaryota, Metazoa, Chordata, Mammalia, Carnivora, Mustelidae.